GCCUGGUGUCCUUUGUCUAAAUUGGUGUGUAAUCUACAAGCUGCAUGCAGUCAUCCAGUGAUUGAGAGGAGAGAGGAGGCUUUCAACGAACGAUAUAUCAUGAAGAGAUAUGUGAAAAACACCUUGAGGAUUGAUUCUAAACAACGUUUACCAUGUUUCAGUCGAUAUUAUGGAGUUAAUUUGGAAAAAAGUUUGGCGUUUUGAAGACUGAAUUUUCGUUUUUUUUUGGUAGCCAAACGUGACGCACCAAACGGAGCAAUUUCUCCUAAACAAAUAAUCUUUCAGGAAAAACUGAGCAUUUGCUAUCUAACUGAGAGUCUCCUCAUUAAAAACAUCUGAAGUUCUUGAAAGGAAAAACUGAGCAUUUGCUAUCUAACUGAGAGUCUCCUCAUUGAAAACAUCUGAAGUUCUUCAAAGCUUCAAGGCAUAGCGAUUGGUCUCCUCUACUGUGUCUCCCACCAGCUCCUCUGUCAGAAACAUCUUGAAGCACUCUGUGUCAGAUGGAAAUGGCAAGGGGCAUUGCACUCCAGACUGAGAUUCAUCAAAGCAAACCGCAGGGCCAGGAGGGGUGAAAUGGCUGGCAGCCUUCCAGCUACCACAGAACUCCUGUACUUCAUCCACUGUCGGUCUGCCUCCAUCACCACCAGCAUCUUCAAAGGGAACUGGGACUUUGUCUGUGGACAAGGGGUCCUCAGAUUCAGGGUUCUCACGGGCUGGGGGGAAGCUCCUCACUGUCACUGUCAGAAUCUGAUUCCUGACUUUCAGACUCAUUGUCAGAAUUUUUUUAAUCUCCAGAAUUUCUGCAUUUGUGAGUUGUCUCCUUUUGAAAGACAUUGCUAAUGUUACAGCUUAGCUCACUAGCUACAUACUAACAACACCACUGAAUGGCUCAGAGUGGGAGUUAGAGGUUACGUGAUUGACUGCCUGCACGCAUCAUUUGUAUCAAUAAAUCACUAUCAGAAAAUGUCUUGUGUGGUAAUUAUUGAUAUGUUUACUGUUUUAUUCACGUUUUUC
Long non-coding RNA from Oncorhynchus tshawytscha (Chinook salmon), 1014 nucleotides. Lineage: Eukaryota; Metazoa; Chordata; Actinopteri; Salmoniformes; Salmonidae. The record is from Ensembl.